RNAcentral lists this ribosomal RNA (95 nucleotides) under Fukomys damarensis (Damara mole-rat). Lineage: Eukaryota; Metazoa; Chordata; Mammalia; Rodentia; Bathyergidae. The record is from RNAcentral.
UGCUGUACCACCCUGAAUGCACCCGAUUUCAUCUGAUCUUGGAAGAUAAGCAGGGUCUGGUCUAGGUAGUAUUUGGAAGGUAGAACAUACAGCCC